Molecule: long non-coding RNA, 411 nt
Organism: Gigantopelta aegis
Lineage: Eukaryota; Metazoa; Mollusca; Gastropoda; Neomphalida; Peltospiridae
Exons: 2
Source: RefSeq, a predicted model, not a curated record
UGCACAUCGAGUAUCGCCAGGUCGCACUUGUUAAUCAAAUGUAAGUGGCCCGUCAGAGUAUGUUGACGUAUCUGAUAGUACAGCAGGGGUCAAAAUACUGCCGACCCGACUGGUUUCUGCCGGUCAACAUCACCACAGGAGCUUGCUGCGACUGUCUUCUAGACUGUCUACAUCAUCACAUACCUCAUGCGAAAAUACGUGACUGGCACGAAUGGCCACACGAGACAAACAUCUGUCCCUCAUUGGAUAAACAUACGAUUGGCUUCUCCUAGGUGAUGACCCGGUCGCCACAGCCAUAUCAUCCAAUGAAAUAAGCAGCAUGGAAAUUGCUUUCUUUAUGACGUAUAAGAAACCACACACACACACACGGCUGAAACUCAUAAAAAAAUACCAUUAUGUUGUUGAUAAAAA